UCUAUACAGACUCAUGCAGUCUCCGGCAGCAACAGAGAAUUCCACCAUAACCCCAGGCACAGGCUGAGUGAUGGAUGCCAUGGAUGCUGAAUGAUAUGUGCCCGAGUGAACCACAGUGCACUCUGGGAAACCCGGAAUGAGAUGGUUAUCAUGCAAAAUGAUGGUUUUGCCUAUGAUUCAAUAUCCAGGAUCCAAGAGAAGCUUCUACAGCUUGGGCUGCAAAAACAACAACUGGAGUUAGAAGCUCUGGGAGGUGUAGACUAGAGGCUCCUGUCAUCUUUGCAGAGACAGAAGGCUUUGCCUGUGUUUAUCAAUCCUCUUUCUCCAAAGACAAACUAAAGAACUCAGAGGUGACUUGUAAUGAGGAAGGGAGCUGCCAGGCCCUUUGAGAAGAUCACAGCAUCCAAAGCAGAGACACUUUAAAGCCAGGCAGAGUGGAGAUGCCACUUAGAAACUCGGGUGCUUCCUGACAAAGAAGGACUCUUUCUGAAAAAAAGCUCAUCAAAUUGAACCUGCCCAUCAGGACUGGGAAGCUAAGAAGUCCAGAGCAAGAACCAGCUGAUUGCCCUGUAUCAUCUGGGUGGAUCCAAGGGCAUCUCAAGGAUUCUUGUUAGGUGGAGGGAGGAGAGUCAUAGUCUCAGAGAGACGUGUGAGGACUGAAGCAGAGCGUUGAAGAAAAAUGGGAUGAUGAGAAUCCCUAGCUCACACUGACAAUGUAAGGAUGUGGGCUGGGUCUGUGAACACAGCCAGAACAGGACUCCAUGUGGAAGAACACAAACAAGUGAGAUGCACUGGUUAUAUAUAUGCUGCUCUUCUCCAAGAGACUGCUACCUGCUGAGAGGCCCUGGAUAUAUUCCAGAGACAGCACCUGGCAGAUCCACCUACAGGCUGUCAACAGGCACCAAGAAUGGAUUGGCAGGGGAUGGGCCUCCCCUCUUUAUAAGCAGUCUCUUAGUAAACUCGGGGGCCUUG
This 972-nucleotide long non-coding RNA is filed under the name Mus caroli (Ryukyu mouse). Its description in RNAcentral is "lncRNA (MGP_CAROLIEiJ_G0006206.1)". The record is from RNAcentral. Lineage: Eukaryota; Metazoa; Chordata; Mammalia; Rodentia; Muridae.